CAAAACCAUCCAAAAGAACAACAAGGCAGCCCUCCAUCCCCGUGCGUGUGUCCUCCCACCUCGGCCGCCGCCACUGCUAAUGCCGCAGGAACGAUGCAACCUGGGCGGCUCAUCUAGCAGACUGGCUGGCAGGAACGCCGCACGCCUCCGGUAAAGCACAACUGUCUGUCAAAAGUUCCCCGACAGUGGAACACAAUGAAAUGGGUGGCUGGGCGGGUGCCUCCCACCAUUAAAGCACUAAAUGCGUGUGCGGCCGCGUGGAUGAGGAGGGUCCCUCCAGGGAGGUGAAGGUCAGCAGGUUCCCCAUGAAGGACCCCGCACGCUGAGGGCAAGAUGGA
Doryrhamphus excisus (bluestripe pipefish) is the source of this 338-nucleotide non-coding RNA. Lineage: Eukaryota; Metazoa; Chordata; Actinopteri; Syngnathiformes; Syngnathidae. The record is from RefSeq and is a predicted model, not a curated record.